RNAcentral lists this long non-coding RNA (1248 nucleotides) under Gouania willdenowi (blunt-snouted clingfish). Its description in RNAcentral is "lncRNA (ENSGWIG00000017240.1)". Lineage: Eukaryota; Metazoa; Chordata; Actinopteri; Blenniiformes; Gobiesocidae. The record is from RNAcentral.
AAAAUAAUUUAAGUGUAUCGACACAUUAAUUAGAGAAUUAAAGAAAUUAUUUAUAAGUAACACAAGUUCCUUUUCUGACAACUGCUUAAUUUUAUAUGCAGUAAUUGGUAACCUAAUUCACUUAUUUGAUUAUUAGUUUAAUUUGCUUAAUGUAAUUAUUAGUUAUGUAAUUCAGUUGCCAGACUUAACUGAAAAAAAAUCAGUAACAUUAAUGUUAGUCAUUUAAAUAACAAACUAGAAAUUACAGGUUAUCCUUUAACAGUUUGAAUCAGGCAUAGAGGCUGUAAUAUGUGUAUUAUUGGCUUAUCAUUGGCUGGUGAGACAUGUGUCCAUGACAGUGUGUGACAGGAAGUUGUCUCCUUCUAGCUUAUUGGACUACAUGUUAAGUUCAAAGGCCUUUAGUAAUAUUCAUUUAUUGGCAAGAGAGCAGGUGAAGGAAAACAAUUUAGUAUGUGUGUAAACCGUAACACUCAUGAAGUACAGAUUUUUUCUGAUGCUGUCAAAGUCAUUGUUUUUUAUAGUAGUUUUUUGUUUUCUUUUUAUUAGUAGUUUUUGUUAUUUUAUAUACUCAAAAUAAGGACACCAAUCAGUAAAAAUAUGCCCAUCUUGUACCUUUUUUUUAUAGGAAGAAAUCUAACCAGCUAGCUUACCCAGGUAGUUGUCAGAUUGUCUGGAGGUGCUACCUACAAAUGUCAAUAUUUUCCCUGUUUUAAUAGAUAUGUUUAUUGUGAAUCUCUUUCAGAGUGGAUUUCAAGAAGAUGGAGAGGGUCGCAUGAAUGUUGACCUUUCUAAACAUGUAACUGCAUUUCUUCUUCAAGCCAGAGAAACGCAUCGACUGACACAGAGUGCUGUUAACCAAAUGGUGAUUGGAGUCCAGCAAUAUCAGGCCGCAUUAUUGGAGCACCUUAAACAGAAAAUGAGCAACAUGAUUGAGAGACAUUCUGGGGACCCAGUUCAACUAAAGAGUGAUGCAAUGGGGAUAUUUGACCAGUUUGUCGACCCUUUCUGUCAAAUUUCUUCCACCCAUUUGCAGGAUAAGACAAUCAAAGAACUGUUAAAACCAGUUGAACCAGAGAUUGUUGUCGCAAAACAAACAGUAUGCUAUGUGAAACAUGGAGACUCCAGAGUUCUUACCAUUAAGGACCAUUGUUUUCAUUAUAUACCGUUGGUGAAAAGUUUGGAGCAGCUGCUAUCACAUCCAAGAACAAUUGCAAUAAUUGAUGAGAGGCCACAGACAUGCAAGGAUGG